Molecule: ribosomal RNA, 124 nt
Filed under: Panthera tigris altaica (Amur tiger)
Lineage: Eukaryota; Metazoa; Chordata; Mammalia; Carnivora; Felidae
Source: RNAcentral
GUCCACGGGCAUACAACCCUGAAUGUGCCUGAUCCUGGAAGCUAAGCAGUGUUGGGCCUGGUUAGUACUUGGAUGGGAGAAAAUAUGAACUUAACACGGGCUGCUUCACUAAGAUUUGUGGAAC